UCGGGAAUCUUGGACAAUGGGGGAAACCCUGAUCCAGCCACGCCGCGUGGGUGAUGGAGGCCUUCGGGUCGUAAAGCCCUGUCGGAGGGGAAGAAACGGUUUAAGGUUAAUACCCUUGGAUCUUGACGGUACCCUCGGAGGAAGCACCGGCUAACUACGUGCCAGCAGCCGCGGUAAUACGUAGGGUGCUAGCGUUGCUCGGAAUUACUGGGCGUAAAGGACGUGUAGGCGGCCUUGCAAGCGGGAUGUGAAAACCCCUGGCUUAACCAGGGAAGUGCAUUCCGAACUGCUUGGCUUGAGUCCGAGAGAGGGCGGUGGAAUUCCCGGUGGAACGGUGAAAUGUGUAGAUAUCGGGAGGAACACCUGCGGCGAAGGCGGCCGCCUGGCUCGGUACUGACGCUAAAGCGUGAAAGCGUGGGUAGCAAACAGG
RNAcentral lists this ribosomal RNA (430 nucleotides) under uncultured bacterium. RNAcentral's name for it is "bacterial SSU rRNA". It matches the Rfam family "Bacterial small subunit ribosomal RNA", at positions 355 to 776 of the family's 1533-position model. The record is from RNAcentral.